This 506-nucleotide ribosomal RNA is filed under the name Ephemera simulans. RNAcentral's name for it is "partial 16S ribosomal RNA". It matches the Rfam family "Bacterial large subunit ribosomal RNA", at positions 1829 to 2601 of the family's 2925-position model. Lineage: Eukaryota; Metazoa; Arthropoda; Insecta; Ephemeroptera; Ephemeridae. The record is from RNAcentral.
UCGUCUUUUGAAUAUAUAGAAGAUAUAACCUGCCCACUGAAAAAUUAAAGGGCCGCGGUAUUGUGACCGUGCAAAGGUAGCAUAAUCAUUAGUCUUCUAAUUAAAGGCUGGAAUGAAUGGUUGGACGAGGUAAAAGCUGUCUCAUUUAAGAUAUUUAAAAUUUAACAUUUUAGUGAAAAGGCUAAAAUAAUGUUGGAGGACGAGAAGACCCUAUAGAGCUUAAUAAUAAAAUUAAUAGGAAAUAUAGUAGAGGUUUUAUUUUUAAUAUAGUUAUUUUGUUGGGGUGACAGGAAAAUAAAUAAACUUUUUUAUAUAAUUAACACUAAUGAGUGAGUUUAUGAUCCAUUAUUAAUGAUUAUAAGACCAAGUUACCUUAGGGAUAACAGCGUAAUCCUUUUUGAGAGUUCUUAUCGACAAAAGGGUUUGCGACCUCGAUGUUGGACUAAGAAAAUAUUUGGGUGUAGAUGUUCAAAUGUUAGGUCUGUUCGACCUUUAAAUUCUUACAU